GACGAACGCUGGCGGCGUGCCUAAUACAUGCAAGUUGAGCGAUGAAGAUUGGUGCUUGCACCAAUUUGAAGAGCAGCGCACGGGUGAGUAACGCGUGGGGAAUCUGCCUUUGAGCGGGGGACAACAUUUGGAAACGAAUGCUAAUACCGCAUAACAACUUUAAACAUAAGUUUUAAGUUUGAAAGAUGCAAUUGCAUCACUCAAAGAUGAUCCCGCGUUGUAUUAGCUAGUUGGUGAGGUAAAGGCUCACCAAGGCGAGGAUACAUAGCCGACCUGAGAGGGUGGGCGGCCAGACUGGGAGUGAGACCCGGCCCAAACGCACUGGGGAGGCAGCAGUACGGAAUCUUCGGCAAUCGACGAAAGUCUGACCGCGCAACGCCGCGGGAGUGAAGAAGGGUUUCGGAUCGUAAAACUCUGUUUGUAGGGAAGAACGUUGGUGAGAGUGGAAAGCUCAGCAAGUGACGGUAACUACUCAGAAAGGGACGGCUAACUACGUG
RNAcentral lists this ribosomal RNA (497 nucleotides) under uncultured bacterium. RNAcentral describes it as "partial 16S ribosomal RNA". It matches the Rfam family "Bacterial small subunit ribosomal RNA", at positions 28 to 507 of the family's 1533-position model. The record is from RNAcentral.